AGUGAACGCUGGCGGCAGGCCUAACACAUGCAAGUCGAGCGGCAGCGCGGGGGCAACCCUGGCGGCGAGCGGCGGACGGGUGAGGAAUACAUCGGAAUCUGCCUUGUUGUGGGGGAUAACGUAGGGAAACUUACGCUAAUACCGCAUGAGACCGUAAGGUGAAAGUGGGGGAUCGCAAGACCUCACGCGACAAGAUGAGCCGAUGUCGGAUUAGCUAGUUGGUGAGGUAAGGCUCACCAAGGCAACGAUCCGUAGCUGGUCUGAGAGGAUGAUCAGCCACAUUGGGACUGAGACACGGCCCAGACUCCUACGGGAGGCAGCAGUGGGGAAUAUUGGACAAUGGGCGCAAGCCUGAUCCAGCCAUGCCGCGUGUGUGAAGAAGGCCU
Molecule: ribosomal RNA, 386 nt
Filed under: uncultured bacterium
Lineage: Bacteria
Description: bacterial SSU rRNA
Rfam family: Bacterial small subunit ribosomal RNA
Source: RNAcentral